GCGGCAGAAUAAGAUACUGGGUAGGGUGUGGGCUAUUUCUUUCACUCACCAUGUUUAUUCCAAAAAAUGUCUGCCCCCACUCUGGUAGCCUAUGGACAAGCAUUAAGAAUAAGCUAUGUGGUCAAUCUGUGCUGUCAGAAACAGGCCGAGAGUGAUGGAGAGAGUGUGAACAGACCAUCAGGCACAAUGACUCAACUCCACCCCAGGACAAAGAGAAGAGGAACACUGUGCUUUCACCUUUUUCAAUCAUUUGAAAUGGACUUUUCAUCCUGAUUUUGAAGUAACAGUGUUGUGCAUUUAGUCUUUUUUGGUAAUUGCUCAGCCAAUGGAAUGAUAUGGAGGAAAUAGAAAUGCAUGUAUUGAGACAUUAACAUAAUGUUUAUUCCUUUUUGUUUGAUUUAAUUCUGUUGUCAUUUUAAAGCUUAGAGUGAAAUUCUACUUUUCAGGGUCAGUUAACUUAAUUGUUUCGCACUGGUUUUAACGUUGUUUCAUUUUCCAGAGCGAGGGCUAUGAACCUAAAAUCAUACAGUCUCUGUUUUUCCCUUUGCUCUUGGUUCACUGUAUCAACCAUUAUCGUUUCAGUGUAGCCUGGCUACUACUGGUAGUCUGUUUCUGCUUCUAAACUGUUGGCAUGACAACCAUGUAGUUUGGUUCAAUGCACAACCUUUUUGGUACUCUGCUUGUUUUCUUGGACCUCCUUUGUCCAACUUCUUAAUGAUCAUGGUUGUUUUAAUCAAAUUAAGUGUACAAAAUUGUGUCUGGUGUUUUUCCCUAGCCAUUUGAAAUCUAUUCACAAUCUUGUGAUGAUAAUGGGGGAAAACAUAAUAAAACGAGUAAUGUAACGUUUGUUUUCUGGAAAACAUUCAUGUUUUUGUAAAUCUAGUUUGGUCUGAUUUCUUUAGUGUGAGAAAUCUAAAGAACUAUGUAUAAACACACAGCUAAACAAAGGUAGAUUACAACAUUUAAAAAAAACUCAACUGAUCACAAGACUUCAUUAAAUCUCGUCGACUGAACUGCAGUUGGAACUAGUGGAUUAAUUGCUGUCCACAGUAAGUGGUGUAGCUUGGCGGAGUGACUUUACGAGUAUCUAAACACCAUAGGC
This is a long non-coding RNA of Oncorhynchus tshawytscha (Chinook salmon), 1102 nucleotides long. The record is from Ensembl. NCBI's taxonomy places the organism in Eukaryota, Metazoa, Chordata, Actinopteri, Salmoniformes, Salmonidae.